This 89-nucleotide transfer RNA is filed under the name Vibrio coralliirubri. RNAcentral describes it as "tRNA-Gln". It matches the Rfam family "tRNA". From Rfam's summary of the family: Transfer RNA (tRNA) molecules are approximately 80 nucleotides in length. Lineage: Bacteria; Pseudomonadati; Pseudomonadota; Gammaproteobacteria; Vibrionales; Vibrionaceae. The record is from RNAcentral.
AGGUAGAUAGUCAAGUGGCUGAAGACAGCGGAAUUUGACUCCGCUGCGCGAUAUGCGCCUCGCUGGUUCGAAUCCAGCUCUGCCUGCCA